AAGCUACUCCCUCCGUCCGGAAAUACUUGUCAUAGGAAUGAAUGUAUCUAGAUGUAUNNNNNUUCUAGAUACAUCCAUUUUUAUCAAUUUGUGCGACAAGUAAUUCCGGACGGAGGGAGUAUUUG
This is a non-coding RNA of Hordeum vulgare subsp. vulgare (domesticated barley), 125 nucleotides long. Lineage: Eukaryota; Viridiplantae; Streptophyta; Magnoliopsida; Poales; Poaceae. The record is from Rfam.